GAUGAACGCUGGCGGCGUGCCUAAUACAUGCAAGUCGAGCGAACAGACGAGGAGCUUGCUCCUCUGACGUUAGCGGCGGACGGGUGAGUAACACGUGGAUAACCUACCUAUAAGACUGGGAUAACUUCGGGAAACCGGAGCUAAUACCGGAUAAUAUAUUGAACCGCAUGGUUCAAUAGUGAAAGACGGUUUUGCUGUCACUUAUAGAUGGAUCCGCGCCGCAUUAGCUAGUUGGUAAGGUAACGGCUUACCAAGGCAACGAUGCGUAGCCGACCUGAGAGGGUGGUCGGCCACACUGGAACUGAGACACGGUCCAGACUCCUACGGGAGGCAGCAGUAGGGAAUCUUCCGCAAUGGGCGAAAGCUUGACGGAGCAACGCCGCGUGAGGGAUGAAGGUCUUCGGAUCGUAAAACUCUGUUAUUAGGGAAGAACAAAUGUGUAAGUAACUAUGCACGUCUUGACGGUACCUAGUCAGAAAGCCACGGCUAACUACGUG
RNAcentral lists this ribosomal RNA (497 nucleotides) under uncultured bacterium. RNAcentral describes it as "partial 16S ribosomal RNA". It matches the Rfam family "Bacterial small subunit ribosomal RNA", at positions 28 to 507 of the family's 1533-position model. The record is from RNAcentral.